GCUGAAAGUCUGAUAUGUAAAUUAUCAAAUGUUGUAGUAUGGUUUCUUCUAUAUACACAUGAGAAAAGAAUUACAUGAGUAUUUUGAUAUUGUUAGUAUAGAUAGAUGUUGAAAUUAUUAAAAAGUUCUCAGUAAACUGAGAAGAUAAUUUAAAUACAUCAUUGAUUUUUUCUUGUGUGUAAGAAAAAUAAAAAUGUCCAUAAUCUCCUUGCAAUCCACAUUACUUCCAAAACAAGCGCCGCAUCUUUUGUAACAAUGAUAUGUCCCCAUACUGAAUGCGUUUGUGAAAAUAGACAAUCAUACAACAUCCCUUUGAAUUCCUAGGGUACCACACAGAAAUAGAUACAUUACAGGUUCUCACAGCAAUUGGACAGUAGAUUAUUCCACGGAUAACAGAAGUCCAAGGACUUGGAUUGCUGAAACUAAAAUACAGGUAAUGACUUAACAAAAUGCUUGAAGCAGAACGGGUAUCUAGACGAUUUUCCUAGUCAAUGAGAGUUAGUUAUGGACACUGAGAUGUAUAAGGCCAAUGAUAAGAAGACAAGUAUGACUGUGAGAUGUUGACAUAUGCUGUAAGGGCAAAGAGUGUUCUCUUUUUUCUUUUUUAACCCAAAAAUAUGAAGAUGACACUUUUUGAAUGCUUUGAAUUUCAUGUGAGAACAUGAACAGACUUGUUCUAAAUCAUGCUAUUGACAGGACCGUCUUCUAGUUCCGUUAGGUCUUUCUAUUUUCUUUUGUACUUCAUCUAAUUUUAAUAUUUAAUGUGAACUUAAUGGGUAGCUUGAAAUUUUUUUCUAUUCAUACCAGUGCUUACUUAUCACAUACUCUUUUUGGACAUUAGUUUAAUGACUAUGAUACAAUGACAUACAUGCUCUUCAAGUAAUAGCCUUUUUCAACUCGAUGUAGAUCAUGCUCAGCAUUUCUAAUUUGAUUAAUCCGCCUCUGCAAUAUUCACAUCGAUGUAGAACAAUCAUAAAUGCUUUAUGAAUUUCCUUUCUUUCUCAAGAACUUGAGAUGGGAUCACAUGUAGAUGCUCAAACAGCAGAAUCUCACUGUCACCUAGUGUACCUGGGACUCAUCUAGCACAUUCAAUAUGAUGUAGUUGACAAUAACUACCAAGG
RNAcentral lists this long non-coding RNA (1121 nucleotides) under Eucalyptus grandis. RNAcentral's name for it is "long non-coding RNA (EGRA_LNC005849)". Lineage: Eukaryota; Viridiplantae; Streptophyta; Magnoliopsida; Myrtales; Myrtaceae. The record is from RNAcentral.